RNAcentral lists this small nuclear RNA (109 nucleotides) under Zalophus californianus (California sea lion). Lineage: Eukaryota; Metazoa; Chordata; Mammalia; Carnivora; Otariidae. The record is from RNAcentral. RNAcentral also lists the same sequence under 1 other name.
GUGCUCCCAUCAGCAGCACACAUAUGCUAAAACUGGGACAAUAUGAAGAAGAUUAGCAUGGUCCCUGAACAAGGAUGACAUACAAAUUGGAGCAGUAUUCCACAUUUUA